Molecule: transfer RNA, 72 nt
Filed under: Deinococcus yavapaiensis KR-236
Lineage: Bacteria; Thermotogati; Deinococcota; Deinococci; Deinococcales; Deinococcaceae
Rfam family: tRNA
About the family: Transfer RNA (tRNA) molecules are approximately 80 nucleotides in length. Their secondary structure includes four short double-helical elements and three loops (D, anti-codon, and T loops). Further hydrogen bonds mediate the characteristic L-shaped molecular structure. tRNAs have two regions of fundamental functional importance: the anti-codon, which is responsible for specific mRNA codon recognition, and the 3' end, to which the tRNAs corresponding amino acid is attached (by aminoacyl-tRNA synthetases). tRNAs cope with the degeneracy of the genetic code in two manners: having more than one tRNA (with a specific anti-codon) for a particular amino acid; and 'wobble' base-pairing, i.e. permitting non-standard base-pairing at the 3rd anti-codon position.
Source: Rfam by way of RNAcentral
GGCCUCGUCGUUCAACGGUCAGGACACCCGGUUGUCUCCCGGGAAACGAGGGUUCGAUUCCCUUCGAGGCCG